Molecule: non-coding RNA, 975 nt
Filed under: Amblycirrhitus pinos (redspotted hawkfish)
Lineage: Eukaryota; Metazoa; Chordata; Actinopteri; Centrarchiformes; Cirrhitidae
Description: 12S ribosomal RNA
Rfam family: Bacterial small subunit ribosomal RNA
Source: RNAcentral
CAAAGGUUUGGUCCUGGCCUUACCCUCAACUUUUCCUAAAUUUACACAUGCAAGUAUCCGCACUCCCGUGAGAAUGCCCCCCAGUUCCCCUUUCGGGAACAAGGAGCCGGUAUCAGGCACACCCUUCCCCUCAGCCCAAGACACCUUGCUUAGCCACACCCCCAAGGGAACUCAGCAGUGAUAAACAUUAAGCCAUAAGUGAAAGCUUGACUUAGUUAAUGGAAAACCAGGGCCGGUUAAAACUCGUGCCAGCCACCGCGGUUAUACGGGAUUUGGCCCAAGUUGAUAGUACACGGCGUAAAGGGUGGUUAAGAAACCCAGGUUAAAAUAAAGCCGAACACCCCUCCUGCUGUCAUACGCAAUCGGGGUUAAAGAAGACCAAUUACGAAAGUAGCUUUACCCCUCCCCCCAUCCUGAACCCACGAAAGUUAUGAUACAAACUGGGAUUAGAUACCCCACUAUGCCUAACCCUAAACACUGAUAGUUUAUUACACCUACUAUCCGCCAGGGUACUACGAGCGUCAGCUUCAAACCCAAAGGACUUGGCAGUGCUUUAAACCCCCCUAGAGGAGCCUGUUCUAGAACCGAUAAUCCCCGUUAAACCUCACCCCUCCUUGCUCGUACCCCGCCUAUAUAUCUCCGUCGCCAGCUUACCCUGUGAAGGAUAAUAAGUAAGUACAACCGGUGGAACCCCACCCCCAACGUCAGGUCGAGAUGUAGCUUAUGGAGCGGAUAAGAAAUGGGCUACAUUCCCUGACAUAGGGAAUACGAACGAUAGUCUGAAACGCCUAUCCGAAGGUGGAUUUAGUAGUAAGCAGAAAAUAGAGUGUUCUGCUGAACUUGGCCCUAAAGCGUGUACACACCGCCCGUCACUCUCCCCAAGCUAUAAUUAAGAUCCAUAAUUAAUACCAGCCCCUGCAUAAGGGGAGGCAAGUCGUAACAUGGUAAGUGUACCGGAAGGUGUACUUGGACAAC